RNAcentral lists this ribosomal RNA (288 nucleotides) under uncultured Thiobacillus sp. RNAcentral describes it as "partial 16S ribosomal RNA". It matches the Rfam family "Bacterial small subunit ribosomal RNA", at positions 1089 to 1382 of the family's 1533-position model. The record is from RNAcentral. Lineage: Bacteria; Pseudomonadati; Pseudomonadota; Betaproteobacteria; Nitrosomonadales; Thiobacillaceae.
GCAACGAGCGCAACCCUUAUCAUUACGUUGCUACGCAAGGGCACUCUAAUGAGACUGCCGGUGACAACCGGAGGAAGGUGGGGAUGACGUCAAGUCCUCAUGGCCCUUAUGGGUAGGGCUUCACACGUCAUACAAUGGUCGGUACAGAGGGUUGCCAAGCCGCGAGGCGGAGCCAAUCCCACAAAGCCGAUCGUAGUCCGGAUUGUUCUCUGCAACUCGAGAGCAUGAAGUCGGAAUCGCUAGUAAUCGCGGAUCAGCAUGUCGCGGUGAAUACGGUUCCCGGGUCUU